GUUAUGGAUAAAAAUGGAAUUACAUGAAAGGAAAAAACAUCAUUUAAAAAACCUUAAAAUUCAAUUACUCAUGAAUAAACAUGGUUAAAUUUUGAAUAUAUGUAUAUUCAAAAGAGUUUGUCUCUCAAAUGAACUUUUUGAAUAUAUGUAUUCAAACUUUUUUCACAAGUUUUUCUGUGCAAAUGUAACCAUAUUUAAGAACAGGAAUUUGAUAACAUACUUCUUAUACCCUUGUUAACUGCUUUUUUGUGACAGACAUGGAAGGGCAAUCCAUGUCCAUCACUCUGAAUACACAUAACAAUAAAAAAGGCCACCAAGACACUAGUAAUCAAAUUAGAUAUAAAACAGUGAUUAAAAUGGUUAAUAUUCAUUGUUGACUUCCUAUAGUUCCAGACACUAUUAUCAGUGUUAAGCCUGUCAUUGUUCAUUUAACCUUCACUGCAACUGAGGAGGAGGGCCUAUUGAUGUUCCACUUUAACAUAAUGGAACUGAGGCACAGUUAGGGCAGGGAUAUUGAGUGGAGAGGCUUAGAUUUGAAAGUAGGCCAUGUAGCAAUCAAGCAAAGAUACCUAAUCAGUAUGCGCUACUGCCUCUCAUCAGAUAAGACCAGAUUUAUUGUUAAUCGGGCACAUAAAAAUGAAUGAAGCGGAGGUAACUUGUUUUUUCUCAGUUGACUAGGCAGAAAUUUAAAAUAUAUAUUAAAAAAAAACUUUAUGGUUUGGAAUUUGGGGAAAUGUGUCCUGUUAUACUACAAACAGUGUUGCUUGGCUCCUGUCUCCCUUCCUAAGUUUUAGGGAUGUUCCUCUUUUGCAUUGAGUGACUUUCCUAUAUGUGGGACAGCAAAUGCUUAUUUCCUAAUUAUUUUAUUAUUUUGUAUAUUUACAAGAGAAAUAGAUAUGUAUUAUAGGUAAAAGUAGAAAAUAUAGGAAGUAAUAUAAAAUAACAUUCCCCAAACAUAAAACCCAAGGUAAAUCCUGCUAAUGCUUUCAUCUAAUUAUAUUAUUUCAUAAGUUUUCUUAUGCAUGUGUUUAUUUAUACAUAUAUGGCUAAAUUUUUGUAUUUGUUUACAUAAUAUAGGAACUCAUUUUAGUUUUUUAACCUGCUUGUAUUAUUGUAGUGGGUUGAAUGAAUUACAUCUCCCAACAAAAUUUGUCCCAGAGUUAGCUCCCAGUACCUGUGAAAGCAGGUACUUAUUGGGGAAUAGGGUUUGUGCACAUGUAAUUUAGGAUCUUGAGAUGAGAUCAUCCUGGAUUUAGGGUGAGCUCUAAAUCCAAUGACCUUUUUUUUUUUUUUAAAAAAAAAAUAUUUUUAAUUGUAGUUGAACAUAAUAACUUUAUUUUAUUUAUUUAUUUUUAUGUGGUACUGAGGAUUAAACCCAGUGCUUCACAAAUGGUAGACAAGCACUCUACCACUGAGCCACAACCCCAGCCCCUGACCUCUGUUUUUGUAAAAGAAAUGAUAGAGAACUUUGACACCCACCCAGGCAGGAGGUCAUGUGAUUGAGACCGACAUUAGAGUUCUGCUGCCACAAACCCAGGGAAAUGGAAGCCACCACAAGCUGGAAGAGGUAAAGAAGGAUCUUCCUCUUUAAGUCUUCAGAGAGGGUGAGACCCUGUCAACCCACUGAUUUUAAACUUCCAGUUUUCAGAACUGUACAAGAAUAAAUUUCUCUUUUUUGCCAUGAAGUUUAUGGUAAUUUGUUAUGGCAGCCCUAGGAGAUGAAUAUGCUCAGUAACAAUAUAUCUCCAUGUUUUUGGUACUGGGGGUUAAACCCAGGAGUUCUUUUUUUUUUUUUUUUAGAGAGAGAGAAUUUUUUAAUAUUUAUUUUUCAGUUCUCGGCAGACAAAACAUCUUUUUUUGUAUGUGGUGCUGAGGAUCAAACCCGGGCCGCACGCAUGCCAGGCGAGCACGCUAUCGCUUGAGCCAUAUCCCCAACCCCCAGGAGUUCUGAACAAUGGAACCACAUCCCUAACCCUUUUUAUUUUUUAUUUCAAAACAGGGUUUCACUAAGUUGCUUAGGGCCUUGCUAAAUUGCCAAGGCUGGUUUUGAACUUUCGAUCCUCCUGUCUCAGCUCUUGAGUAGCUAGGAUUACAGACGUGCGCCAUCAUGCCCUGCAGUAACAACAUGUUACAAAUGUCAUUAUGAAUAAACACCAGUCUGUACCCUAUUUUAUCAUGACUGUAAAGAAAGUAAGAUCAAUAAUGAUUUGUAAAAACAAAUUUUAAAAUUGCCUAAAAUUUCUUAUGUAUCAUAUCCUCUUUAUGUAUUGAGGCAUUCAGUGCUUAGAGCACACUUACAAGAUGGGUACUAUUGUUAAUCCUCGUUAUAUAGAUGACAAACUGAGGGAUAGAGACAAUAAGGACUUGCCCAAGACUGCACAGUUGGGAAGUGGGACAGUUUGUAUUUGUACUCAGUAGUCAUGCUCGAGAGCCUGGUAAGUUUAUUGUUAAGAGGGCUGGGGUUGUGUCUCAGUGGUAGAGCACUUGCCUAGCAUGUGUGAGGCACUAGGUUUAAUUCUCAGCACCACAUAUAAAUAAAUGAACAAAAUAAAGGUUCAUCAACAUUUAAAAAAAUAUUAGAAAAAUUUAUUGUUAAGAGAGAGAAGCAGUUGAUUCAAACAUGCGUAUUUUAGGACAUCAUUAAAAAUAAUAGUCACUGUGUUAAUAUAUUUAUACGAACAAUUGUAUCUAGUAACAAGAAGGUGGUUUGUGACCUUGGAAAAUGUUCAUUGCAGUUAUGGGAAUGGAAGCCAAAUACAAUGGGAUAAGGAAUGAAUGGAAAAUGAAAUUUAUAAACAGGGAAUGUAGAAAUCCUUUUUGGACCUUUGAUUUGAAGGAGUAGGGAGAAAAAGGAAGUUAGAUAUUGAACCUGUCACUGAAUGGGUAAUGAGAUGCCCAGGAGGGAUUAUUGGAUAGCUUUAAUUUUUUGAAACUUACUUGAGCAAGUUUACAAGUUAACGUUGAAGAAUCACCUCAUCUCAGAUUUAAACCUUAAAGUUGCCCAUAUAUUUAUUUCUCUUCUCACACUUUCAUUUCCAUAAGGAGUUAAUGAGAUACCUCUAAUGGAAUAGUAUAGGUUAUGAGCACAAUACAUAUUUAGUUAUUAGCAAAUGAAAGAAUGGGCAAAUGUGUGAGAGAAUUGCUAGUGAAUCUUGGAUUUCUGUCUCUCCAGAAAUGGCUGAAAUCCUGGUGUCAUGUGGUUGGAUAAUGCAUCAUCUGAGGACCUUGCACUGAUGAGUUGCAGGAUGGGUCUAGAAGUUUCCUAUAAAUACAUGAACUGAGCAGUCCAGUAACAACCAUUAGGCAAACACCACACCUUUCUUCCCACUGUGACCUGUCACUGAGCUCACCAUAUUAGGUCACAGAUACUCCUAUCUUCCCAGUGUGAUGAACUAGAUUUGGGUUUGCUCAGAGCUGUGUUGUGAAACAGCUCUUAUCACAUUAUGAAAUACCCAAGAAGGUAGAUAAUCUCUGUCUCUAAAACUUUGAACUCAAGGCAUAUCAGAGAGAGAUUUGCAUUCUUUAUCUAGCUGCCUGUGUUCUCAGUAGGGGAAACAAUGAGGAAUGGUUUCACAAUACCUACCUUAGUCCUGAGGCUCAGCCAGCUCCUGUUUCAUGUCUCAACUUUAAAGUCCUGUUCUAUGUCAUGUUCUCUGGGCAGGUUUUCCUCAGGUCAACUGUAAAAACAUACAUUGUAUAUUUUUACAGUAUUGACAGUAAGGAUGGAAUGGUCAGGCCCAUUUCACAGAUUACCAAGCCAAGCUUAGGCUCACAAAGCCUAAAUCACUUCUUUAGGUAAAACGUAAGGACUGGUAGGAGAUUCUCUCACCCUCCCUAGAGGACUCUGAGCAUCAAAGCUGCAUUUUUCUCUCAGAUCAGAUGGGAGGCUGGAGCCAAUCUCAGUUUUAGAUAUCCUAGAUAGUGAUGGAUGCAGGAUGAUUCCUUCUGUUAGUUCAAUAAUUCCAGAAAACACUGGAAUUAGGACCAAGCUCCCAACAUGCAUCACUUCCUUCCCCUUUUUGAGUCACUCAAAGUUACAGUCUCCCUCAUGCUACCAGAUGAUACCCAUCUUUCUUUUCCUUCUCUUUUUUGCAAUACUGAUAAUUGCACCCGGGGCCUAGCACAUUCUUGGCAAGCUCAAACAAAAGCAAAAAGGACUGAGAUAGGAUCUUGCUAAGGGCAAGUUGCUUAGGGCCUCACUAAGUUGCUGAGGCUGACUUUGAAGUUGCCAUCUUCCUGCCUCAGCCUUUUGAGUUCUGGAAUUACAGGCAUGUGCCACCAUUCCCAGUCUUUAGUUUUUUCUUUUCUUUUUUUCAUGAAAAGGUAUAUGUUUUGUAGGGUAACAAAUAUGAUAAACUCGUAUUUGUUACCCUACAACAUAUACCUUUUCAUGAAAAAAAUGAUUCUAGUUCUGUUUGGAAAAUUCACAUGUAUAUCAAAGCAGUUCAAUUUGCUGUUGACCCCAAAUAUACAUGGCAUUAACUGAUUUAUCUCUUUCCCCUCAGUGUAGAUUGAAGUGUCAACACUAUAGAGGGUCCCCCAGUGACCAGAAUCCUCACCAUCCAUUACCCCACCCCUGAACAUGCUUCCCAGACCUUCUGACACCCACUCUCAGUCAUCCCUUUUCCUGAACCCUGGAUACAGCUGCCCAUACUGCUGACGCCCCCAUCCCCUUUUGGUCACUUCUUGUUAGGUCUGUGCUGCCCUAUGCUCACUGGUAAAUGCCAAGGCAUGCUAGAGCUAUUUGGAAUUUCGUUGUAUGUUUUUACAGUAUUCUUUUACACUUACCAGUUUUGGGAAAGAAAAAGAAUCAUUCUGUACAAGCUGGUUUCAAUGGCGGUAUCAUUUUUUCUGCUCAUUGUGUAAACUGCUUUGUGGAGAUAUUUGAUAAUGAUGGUAUGCUAUUGCCACCUCGUGACAGAAUUCUAAACUGCAGCUUUAAACUGCUAUUCAGGAAAGUAGGAGGGUGUGGCUUGCCCAAACCCACUCUGCAGAGCUUUAUGGAAAACUGGGUGAAAAAGGGGGUACUUCCAGUGUAUGGGUAUAUUGAUGACUCCAGACAAAAAGUGAAGACUCUCAUUAUUAUGAAGAGAAAUUCUAUGUGAGAGAAACAAGUGAUAUCUUAUUUUUAUGGCUAAAAUUCUCUGGAUAAAUAGAGACAUAUGUGAGAAAAUAUAAAUUCAGGUCACUGUGAUCUUUGUAACCUGCCUUUACCUUCAUUAUGACAAUAUUUAUAUGUAAAUGCAUUUCUGUGAAAAUAUUUUAAAUUGCAAUUUAGUUGUUUUUGAUUUUACAUCAAAUGAUCGUUUCAUCAUAUAGAUGCUGCCAAGUAUUUUACUUGUAUUGUUGCAUAAAAAUUUACUUCCUUUACCAUUUGUAUUAGAGACUAUAGUUUAAUAUUCUCAGACGCAAUAUCUUUAUUUUGACACAAUAUCUUUAUUUUAUUUUUAUGUGGUGCUGAGGAUCGAACCCGGUGCCUCACACAUGCUGGGCGAGCACUCUACCGGCGAGCACUCUACCACCGAGCCACAACCCCAGCCCUGAUGUAUAUUCUUUUAAAAUAUUUUUAGUUGUAGAUGAACACAAUACUUUAUUUUAUUUAUUUAUUUUUAUGUGGUGCUGAGGAUCGAACCCAGUACCUCACAAGUACUAGGCAAGCGCUCUACCACUUAUAGUCCCAGCCCACUAAUGUAUAUUCUUAACAACGUGGUAUGAAAGUAUCUGUUUCUUUACACAUUGGAAAUAAUAUGAAUUAUUGCUAAUCUGAUAGGUAACAUACCACCUCUCACUAUUGUUUCCAUUAUAACUUAUUUUUACUGCCCUCUAGAAUUCUAUCUUAUGGAUGUGAUAGUCACUUUUCAUAAUACUGUGUUAAUUGGGGUGUUCUGAUAUUCCUCAUUAUCAACCCUGUGGGAUGGCAUUACACCACUUGAAGGGCACAGUGUGAGGCAGAGUUCACAUGGCUGUUUGCAAGAUGAGAUGAAUAUGCUCUGUUUGAGCCCAGCAAACUGUCGUGGGAGAAUUCUAGUCAUACCAGAACCUGGUUUGUAUGUAUGUGCACGCUGACAAUCAUGCUUCCCUCUGCCUCUUUGUGGCUUUGCCUCCUAUUUAGCCUAUCUUUCUAAAUUCAGGCCCAGAAGUAGAGGAAGGGAGUUCUCAGGAUGGCAGUGUUUGUUAUUUUUUUCUUGUUUUUGUUUUUUUUAGGUAUAGAUGGACACAAUACCUUUAUUUAUUUAUAUGUGAUGCUGAGGAUCAAACCCAGUACCUCACACAUGUUAGGCAAGCAUUCAACCACUGUGCUGUAACUGCAGCCCUUCCUUCUGCUGCCUUUUUUUUUUUUUUGGUAGCAGGGAUUUAACUCAGGCCACUCAACCACUGUGACACAUCCCCAGCCCUUUUUGUAUUUAAUUUAGAGACAGGGUCUCACUGAGUUCUUAGGGCCUUGCGAAAUUGCUGAGGCUGGCUUUGAACUCAAGAUCCUUCUGCCUCACCCUCCAGAGCUGCUGGGAUUACAGGUGUGUGCCACUUCACCUGGCCUCCAUUUAUUAAUAUAUAUUUUUUGGUUGUAGAUAGACACAAGACCCUUAUUUUAUUUAUUUAUUUUUAUGCAUUGCUGAGUAUCAAAUUCAGUGCCUCACAUGUGCUAGGCAAACUCUCAACCACUGAACUGCAACCCCAGCUCCAGGAUGGCAGUGUUUAUAACCAGAUUCUUAUUCAUGGCCCUUACUAGGUCCUGAAAAUAGACUUCUAAAAGGGAAAUUGUUGGUGCAAAGGGUGUGCACCUAUGUGGCCCUUUGAUAAGUAGUGCCAUCCUGACAUUCAUGAAGGAAGUUCUAAUUUAGUCUCCCUAAAAUGGAAGCAUAUGGAAAAUAAAAGUAUGGAGAGGCAUGAGGAAAGUAAUAAUGCUGACUUCCUGUCACAGAGGGCAGGCCUUAGACUCUAUUUUGGACCAAUUCUUAAGUUACUACCAUAGUUGGAAGAUGUGAAAGAGAUCAGAGGUAAAUCAGGCUUUCACUACAAGGGCAACCUCAGGAAAUUUUUGAUUGUUCUUGGGGUAUAACAGAUGACCAGGGGCUGGGGGUGUAGAUCAGUGGUAGAGUGAAUGCUUGGCACAUGUGAGGCCAAGGGCUUAAUCCCCAUACCAAAAAAAAAAAAAAAAAAAGAAAAGAAAAGAAAAGAAAACCCUAGGCCAAAAAUCACAUUUUAAAAGCUUUCUUGCAAAUAUAAAGACAAUUAAAAUCACACAUUUUAAAGUUGGUAAUUUUUAGUAAAUAUAUUGAGUUGUGUACCUAUAUCCAUAAUGGACUUUUGGAUGUUUCUGUCACCUGAAAAAUUCCCAUUGUGUUUCAGUGCAGUUAAAUCUGCACCCACCCACCCCCAGCCACAUGAACUACAGUUAUGCUUUUUGUCUCUAUGGAUUUUCCUGUUCUUAGCAUUUCAUGUAAAUGGAAUUAUGAUAUUUGAUCUUUUGCAUCUGGCUUCGUUCACUUCAGAUAAUAUUUUCAAGGUUCAUCCAUAUUCUAGCAUGUAGAAUUCAUUUCUUUCUAUGGAUGAAUAACAUUCUGUUUUAAGGAUAUACUGUGUUUUGUUUAUCCAUUAAUCUUUGCAUAAUUUCCACUUUUUAUUAAUUGUGAAUGAUGGUGCUGUGUACACUUAUUACAAGUUUUGACAUAGACAUGUUUUUAUUUCUCUUGAGUAUAUACUUAGGAGUGGGAAUUGCUGGGCAUGUGGUGAUUCCAUGUUUAUCUAUUUGAGGAACUGCUAGAAUACUUUCAUGGCCCUGACAAUCAUGAGGCUUAGUCAGUUUUUCUCCAUGUUAGAUAAUUUUAUGAGUUUUGAGAAACAAUACCACAGAGUUGAAGCACCCUUCUUGCUACAUCAUAUCUGGUACUACAUGAUGCUUACAUGACAUAGUUUUCACUUGGUUAAGGCAAUGUUUUCUUAAGUUUCUUCUAGCAUACAGUAACAAUUUUCCAUUUGCCUAGAGAGCAUGUAGAGACAAGAAAGAAAAUGCUGGCGUGUUUCUCUUUUCACUGUGAAUCCAUGCCAUUUCUGUGUGGUGGGAUGAGUGUCCUAAUAGGGAAGGGGGUAGGGAAGAAGGGAAUUGAUUAUAUCAUAACCAUUCAUCUGAAGUCACUGUCUACCCCAUUUCUUCAUGUUUCCCAAAUUUUCCUGUCUCCUACUUUUAUCCCCUGUUUUACAUGAGAGAAGCAUAUUUCCUUGAGCUCCUGAAGGGAGAGAGCAAUCUUCAUGCUGUGUAUUCUGGAAAUGAUGCUGGAGCAAGACAGACAGAUCUCCCUGGGCAAGCAUUAUAUCCAAACCAGAAACUCUGGAACAUUCUUGACUUGGGGGUAAGUCUCUUCACUCUCUUAUCCUCACCUGGGAACACAUGUAUCUGUUGUGUGUGAGUGUCUUUGCUCUGUGGUAGAGUGGUGACAAAGAAAAUAGACAGGUGGGGACUAAGUUCUUGGUGAAUGAAUCAAUACCCAGGGCAGAGGCUCCAGUUCCUCUGUUUUGGAUUCUAUUCUCAUGUUGAGCAUUUAUCAUCUUUCUGUCCCUUCCCAGGGGUGACCUAGAUGCCUACUUUCUCUCUAUGUCGCCUACUGUCACAAAGGGGUAGGAAAAAUAGCAACGAGAGAGAGAGAGAGAGAGAGAGAGAGAGCGAGCGCGCGCCACACUGGAGGACCUGCUGUUCUCCUCUGUCCUGGAGGAGUUGGGAAAAAAAGAAGAAAAUCAGCAUCCUAUUUCCUCUUGUUGUAGAUACUAUCAUGUUCCCAAUUUUUCAGUACACUUAAACUCAUAGACCAGCCAACCCACGUGACACUAUAGUUAGGCCUCAUGGCACAAAGAUUUUAUCACCACCACCAUCUUUAAUAUGGGGGGUUGUCGAGUGAGUACUUACAUAUAGGGCAUAGUACUGGGAAAGUUGAAAAUGACCAUUUUCCAAAUGGGAAGCUGCUGGUUCUUUUGCAGGGAGAGCAAGAAAUGGAACCUCAUUUCUAUCCUGCCACUUAUCUGGAGAGAGUCUUAGACUUUGUGAGACUGAGCUUGGUCACAUGUGAAAUGGCACUCACCAUUCCUUCACACUGACAUCUGAUGGUAAAUAAGAAAUGCUGAAAAGUACCCAUGGGACACAGUGUGAGUCCUGUUUCCACUGCCUCUUCCCUCCCAGGAGGAGAUGUCAUUGGCCAAAGCUCAAAAGUGUAAAUGCAUAGAGAGCCUGUGCAAAGGGAGCAGCAAGCAUUGAAAUAGAUCCCAGAAUGUGUAAGCUUUGGGCCAGUGUCAAGCUGUGGUUUGUGUUACCUGAUGGUUGGGACAGAGGAAUAAAUUAUGGCACCAUUUCCUAUUAUUACAUAUGCUUGCUGUCCCCUUAGUUUGCCAUACUGUUUGAUACCAGAGGCGCAGUUUCCCAUUGAUUCUGAGGUAGAGCAGACAACAUGGAUGCUGGACCAAAGAUGAGAGUCAAGACACUGGACACCUCCCUGACUGCAGAUUCUUGGGUGAGUCACUUUCCCUGUGCUGGCCUCACCCUAGCACAGUGAUGCCCUAUAAUAGUGGCCUGAGCUCUGGGUCAAAAACCAGUUUCAGUCUGGACACCACUGAUGAAGUUUGAGUGAUUUUUUAAAAAAAUUGUCUUGAAUCUCCAUGCGGUAGGCAGAAUUCUAAGAUGACAUCCAAUGACCUUCACCCUUGUGUAAUCUCCUCCUCUUUGAGCAUGGUUUGUAUCUGUGAAUAUGAUAUGUGUUCCAUGAUUGUGUUCUGUUAUGUAGCAAAAGAGAGACUAUUUGGGUAGGCCUGACCUACUCAGUUAAGUUCUUUUUUUUUUUUUCUUUUUUUCUUUCUUUCUUUUUUUUUGGUACCGGGUAUUGAACUCAGGAGCACUCAGCCACUGAGCCACAUCCCCAGUCCUAUUUUGUAUUUUAUUUAGCGACAGGGUCUCACUGAUUUGCUUAGUGCCUCACUUUUGCUGAGGCGGGCUUUGAACUUGCAAUCCUCCUGUCAGCCUCCUGAGCCACUGGGAUUACAGGCAUGUGCCAUCACACUUGGCCUCAGUCAAGUUCUUUAAAAGUAUUUUUUUCUGGCUGUUCUAAGUAGGGGAAGUCAGAGAUUCACAACCCAGGAAGCAUUCAAUGCACCAUCAUUGGCUGGAAGAUGAAGGUGGCUAUACAGCAGAAAAUUGGACUAGUCCCUAGGAGCAAGGAACCUUCAUAGAUGACAGCCAUAAGGAAAAUGAAGACUUCAGUCCAGUAGUCACAAGUAAAUUAUUUCUGUAGCAACAAGCAUGAUAUUGGAAUUAGAUUACUCCCCAGAGGCUUCAGUUGAGACCUCAGUGGGACCUACACCAAUACCUGGAUUUUUCCCUAAGCACACAAUUAGGUCAUGCUGUGCCAGACCUCUGACCUAUAGAUCUGUGAGCUAUUGAAUGGGUGUAGAUGUUAGUCCCCACACAUGUGGGUACACAACUGCAGAAAAUUCAUCCAUUCCAGUUAAGCUGGAUUCAUACUCAUUGCAUAUAGAGUGUAUAUGUGUGCAGAUGAUACUUGGAGAGAAUAUAACACAUGAUAACUUUUACUAGUGCACGGUGAAGCUGAUGGUUAUGGAUAUAUUCAUAGUGGUAUCUGAAUUCAUUUCCCACAUUUACCAAGAGGAUGAUGGGCUACCUGUUAAUCAGAGAUAAAUAAAACCCAAUAGAGUUUUCUUAAUGUAAACAUAUUAGAAUUCAGACAUUUGAAAGGUAUAAUAAAUACCAUAAUAACCAGAUAUGUCCACAACCAAGACUGUAAAAUUAAACAUCAGAGUAAAUACACCUGGAUGACUUUUCUGAUGCCUUAUCCCCAAAAGGACCCAUUAUCCAAAAUCUGUUUUUGACAUUCUCCUGCUUUGCUCCACGUUUUACCCCUGUGACUAUAUCCCUAAACAAAACCCAUGGUUGCUUUACUUAUUUUAAGCUCUUACAUAAGUAGUAUAUUUAUAUUUAUAUACUACUUAUUGAUUUUUUCUUCACUGAACAUAAUGUUUUUGAAAUCUCUCUAAUAAUGCAGCUUUGGGGUUUUGAUAUUUUAGCUAAGCUUGGUGACCUGCUUGCAUAUUUGUCUGAGGCACUGAGUAUUCCAGUGUUCCAACCACUAACAGGCGUUUCUAGUGCUGAGGACAAAUCUGUGAAUUGUGGUUGCCAUAGAAACCAGAUGUCAUUAUGGCCACUAUGGUGACUGUGAUGACAUUUUAAAGGAGACCCACUUGCUAUGGUUGGAGAGCAGUGUCCCACCUUCAGGUGUUUGGACUCAGCAGAGGGUGUGGGUGCCCCACAAUGAGGAUUGAGGCAUGGAGAGACAAAGGCAUCUGAGACCCAAAUCACCUUGUUCCCACACUGGGUCUUGGUGCCCUGCUGACUCAAGAGGGAGAGAAAUAUGGAACCCUCCUGGCCCCAGGCAGUGUGGUGUACUGUGUGGAUAUUAUAGGAUCAUAGAUGCCUGUAUAAAUUAGACCACUUCUUAUUCAUUUUCAAAUUUGUUUUUAGCAGAUGAGAGAUAAGUAACAGAGAAUAAAAAGGUCCUGGUGAGAAGCCCAUUGUACCUCUGGUUGUAAUAAUCACUACCCAGUUGUACCAGUGCCUAGCAUGGUACUAGGUACACAGUUCCUCUUGUGAGGCACAGUGAUUCUUGGGUUCUCUUUUUUCCUGAGAAAUUCCUCUUGGGCUUAUUAUAUCAAAUGUCUGAAGGAGGCAGUUUCCGAGGAUCUGAGUGGUGAUGGCUGCUGAACUUCUACCCCACAUGUAAAUGCUGCAGUGCUCAGGAGACCCCUGGUGUGAUAUGAGUCUUGGUUCAUGUGAGUUCAUAGAGCUAAACAUAGUCAUGUUAUUGAAUAUUGUCUACAAGGUUCACAAAAUCAUAUAAAAGUAGACAAGCUCUUUUAACAUCAUCAUUUGAAGAAGAAAAUGGAGUUUUGUCCCAUUGGCAACUUAUAUGCUUUGUUGUAGCCCUUGAGGCUCAUUCAUCCUAGAGAUGGCUUCUUAGUCUGAAAGCAAUGAAUCCUUCAGCUUGUGGUAGGAACUUGAUAUUUAACAGGUAUGUUCAAUAAAUUUCAUUUACUUUUUGAUUAUAUGCAUAAAAAAACUGUGAUUCCUAUCAAAAUCUUCAGAUGAGUAUUGAAAUAUACAGUUGGUUAGAAGGCAUUGUGAAAUUGUAAUAUGGAAUUGAAUCAUCCUUGGUAGCCAAGUUUUAUGCAUUCUUAAAUUUUUGUAGAAACCAACUAUUAUCUAAGGAUUAGUUUAAUAUAAUUUUUAUGUUUUUCAAAAAUAUUAAUUAAAAUAGAAUUUAUCCUAUUGUAAUUCAGAGCUAUGUUGUUUAAAAUAACCAAAUACACUGAAUAUCAGUAUGAUUAUUUUAUCAGGUUGUACCAUUUCAGUUUUAGACUUCAGAAAGAAAUGUGCAUCACCUUUCCCUAAAUAUUUAGAUAGACCUCAUUGCAAAUGAUUGCUUCUAUUUUGGUCAUAUGUUGUAUGGAAAACUCAAAAAGACCUAGUGAUUAUCUAUUAAUAUGACAGGAUCAUCUUAGUGGAAAUUAUUCUAUUUAAAUGUAUUUCACCAAAUCUCUGAAGAAUACAAGCAUAUUUCCAAUACUUUAUUGAUGUAUGAUUCAUGUGUAAUUCACUGUGCGUAUUUAAAGUCUUUGCUGAAGUAUUGACAUCUGUAUGCACCAGUGAAGCCAACACUACAGCAAAGGAAAUAUAUAUCCAUCCCCCCAAAAAGUGUUUUCCUGCCCCUUUGCCAUCCUCAUACCCACAUAUCUCCUUCCAGCCUCCCUGCCUCUCCCACCCCUCCCCAUUUUCAAGCAACUACUGUUACCUCACUAUUGAUUAUUUUGUCUUUCUUAUAAUUUUAUGUAAGCAGAUUCAUAUAUGUAUUCACUUUUGUCUGGCUUCUUAUAUUCAACCUAUUAAUUUUAGAUUUAUCCAUAUUGUUUCCAUUUUAAUUGCUGAGCACUAUUCCAUUAUAUAGAUAUGCCACAAUUUGGUUUUAUCUAUCCACUUUAUUAUGGAUGAUGAGCUUUCAUUGUGUAUAAAUUCUCUCUCUCUCUCUCUCUCUCUCUCUCUAUAUAUAUAUAUAUAUAUAUAUAUAUAUAUAUGAUUUCUUUGUCUAGAGUACAUAACUAGGAAUGCAGUGGCUGGAGCCUAUGGUAGACAUAAAAUAAUUAUCGUCAGAAACUGCCAAAAUCUUUUCCAAAGUGGUUGUAUCAUUUUUCAUUCUCAUGAGCAAUAUAUGAGAGUUCAUUCUCCACAGCCUUGUCAACAAUUGGUAUGGUCAGUCUUUUUUAAUUUUAGCCAUGUUCAUGGGAGUGUAGUGGUAUCUCAUUGUAGUUUUCAUUUAUAUUUCUAAAACAAUGAUGUUGAACAUAUUUUCAUAUGAUUAUUUGCUAUUUAUAUAUAUUAUUUGGUGAAGUGUCUGUUCACAUUGUUUUCCUAUUUAUUUAUUGUGUCUUUUUUUCUUUUUAUUGAUUUCUAAUUUCUGGAUAUGUUACUAGUCAGACAUAUUACUUUCAUACACUUUUUUUCAAAGUUAUUUUAUUUCUUUAUUUAAUUUUGGUACUGGGUAUUGAACCCAUGGAUGCUUUAACAUUGAGCUACAUCUCCAGCCAUUUUUUUUUAACAUUUUGAGACAGGGUCUUGAUAAGAGGCCUAGGUUAGCCUCCAGCUUGCAAUCCUCCUGCUUCAGCCUCCCGAAUCACUGGGGUUACAGACAUGCAUCACUGUACCCAGCUUUUUCACAAUCAUUGCUUCUCUUUUCAUUAUCUCAACCAUGUUUUUGGAAGAGUAAAACUGUUUAAUUUUGAGGAGGACCAUUUAUAAUUUUCUUUCUUUAAAGUUAAGAUGCUUCUAUUGGUCUUAUCUAAGUUUUACCUAACCCAUGUUUAUAAGGAUUUUCUCCUGUGUUUCUUUACAGCAGCUUACACAUUUAGGUUUUAUGUUUAAGUGUCAGAUUCAGUUUGAGUUCAGUUUUGUGUGUGGUACAGUAUAUGUACCACAAUUCAUUUUUGGAUAUCCAUUUGUGCUAGAACCAUUUGUUGAAAAGACCUUCCUUUCUCUCCUUAAUUGCUUUUGCUCCUUUGUUGAAAAUUAGUUGUCCAUCCAGGAGUGAGUCUAUUUCUGGACUCUUUAUUCUGUUCCUUUGAUGUAACAGGGUUCCACUUCAUGCUUUGAGUGUAAACAUUGCUGCCCCACCACCACAGGUGGAUCACUUUAAAACUGGCAUUUUUUUUCUUAUUUUUCCAUUUUCUUCAUAUUUAUCCUCUCCACAUCCCUAAUGGCAGGGGAAACAAGACCAACAUUUUUCCCAGCCCACGCUAAGCUAUCAUGUCCUUCACACCUUGAACAAUAUCACUGUCCACAAGAAUAAAGCAACUCCAAACCUGGGAGCUGGAGCAACAGCUCUCUCAAGGACAUCCACUGGACACUAAUUACUUAUAUCUACUGAUAAUGUUUAUAUCCCAGUUCUUGUGUUCCUCCCUUAAAAUUCCUGUGUUCCCACAGGCAGGGAGAAUCAGCCUCUGGAACAGGAGUCCCCAGUGUUUCUACUUUGCUAAUAAAUCAAUAAAACUUCUUACUUUUUCUCAAAACCUGUCCUCAUUAUUAAAUCGUCAGUGGAGACAAGGACCAAGCUUUGGUAUCAUACUUACCUACCUUGAUACCAAAACCACAGUUUGAUUACUGUAGGUUUAUAAGGAAUCUUGAAAUCAGGUAGUAUUUGUCCUCUAACUUGGUUCUUUUUCUAAGUCAUUUGUUAUAGUCUAGGUCCUUUUUAUUUCUACAUGAUUUUAACAUCAGUUUAUAAAUUUCUUUUAAUUUUUUGUAGGACUUUUAUUGAGAUUGCACUGAAUCUGUAUAUUAAUUUGAGGAGAAGAGACAUCUUAACAAUUCUGAGUCCCAUGAAUACCAUUUGUCUUCCACUUCUUUGAGUCUUCCUUAGUUUUCUUGGCAAUAUUUUAUAGGUGGUAAGUGUACAAAUAUUUUACA
RNAcentral lists this long non-coding RNA (15010 nucleotides) under Marmota monax (woodchuck). Lineage: Eukaryota; Metazoa; Chordata; Mammalia; Rodentia; Sciuridae. The record is from RNAcentral.